GCUUACGGCCAUACCACCCUGAAUGCGCCCGAUCUCGUCUGAUCUCAGAGGCUAAGCAGGGUCAGGCCUGGUUAGUACUUGGAUGGGUGACCGCCUGGGAAUACCAUGUGCUGUAAGCU
RNAcentral lists this ribosomal RNA (119 nucleotides) under Larimichthys crocea (large yellow croaker). Lineage: Eukaryota; Metazoa; Chordata; Actinopteri; Sciaenidae. The record is from RNAcentral.